Molecule: long non-coding RNA, 500 nt
Filed under: Nicotiana benthamiana
Lineage: Eukaryota; Viridiplantae; Streptophyta; Magnoliopsida; Solanales; Solanaceae
Description: long non-coding RNA (NBEN_LNC017804)
Source: RNAcentral
AUGAUUUUAGUUUUAAUUUUGUUGAUAAUAUUGGGGCAGUACCUUCUUCAUCCAUGGUGUUUGAUAAUUCUGUCCAGCAGCAAGAGGCACAGGAGCAACCUUACAAAUUGGACUCCAAUAUUUGGUAAAGAGCCGAGCAACGUAACUACGUACGUACGUUAUAAUUAAUUACUCUUUAGUAGAGGCACAGGAGCAACCGUACAAAUUGGACUCCAAUAUUUGGUGAAGAGCCGAAGAACGUAACUACGUACGUACGUACGUUAUUAUUAGUCUUUAGUAGUCACAACUAACUACAGCUUUGUAAAGAAGGAGUUGAAACUUGAAACCAACCAAGACUAUUUGAUGGAAUUAAUGCUUUUAGAUAUAUUUUUACUGUAUAUGUUGCAGCAAGUCCAUAUAUAGAGACAAAAAUAAGUCAAAACCGUGGUAAGUUUAUGUUAUUUAUUCUUUGAUUGACAUGGGAAAAUCCCUAGUCUAGUACUUAUAUCUUUUUUUCGCAA